Molecule: ribosomal RNA, 422 nt
Filed under: uncultured archaeon
Lineage: Archaea
Description: partial 16S ribosomal RNA
Rfam family: Archaeal small subunit ribosomal RNA
Source: RNAcentral
CUACGGGUUGCUCCAGUCGCGAAUCUUUUGCAAUGCGCGCAAGCGUGACAAAGCGAACCAAAGUGAUUUCCGCACAGGAAAUCUUUUCUUCACUUUAAAAAGGUGGAGGAAUAAGGACUGGGUAAGACCGGUGCCAGCCGCCGCGGUAAUCCCGGCAGUCCAAGUUGCAUCCAACAUUAUUGGGUCUAAAACAUCCGUAGCUUGUUUGUUAAGUUUCUUGUGAAAUUCUACAUCUCAAGGGUAGAGCGCGCAAGAAAUACUGACAGACUAGAGACCGGUAGGUGUAAUGAGUACGUCGGGGUAGUGGUAAAAUACGUUAAUCAUCGAUGGACUAACAAUCAGCGAAGGCACAUUACAAGGACGGAUCUGACAGUGAGGGAUGAAGGCUAGGGGCGCAAAACGGAUUAGAUACCCGAGUAGUC